Acanthosepion pharaonis is the source of this 112-nucleotide non-coding RNA. The record is from the annotation of a GenBank genome assembly. NCBI's taxonomy places the organism in Eukaryota, Metazoa, Mollusca, Cephalopoda, Sepiida, Sepiidae.
UUCGACCAUAUAACGUUGAAACACCAGAGCUAGUACGAUCACUGAAGUUAAGCAUCAUCGAGCUUGGUCAAUACUUAGAUGGACGACCGCUUGGGAAUAUUAGGAGCUGUAA